GACGAACGCUGGCGGCGUGCCUAAUACAUGCAAGUAGAACGCUGAAGCGAGGAGCUUGCUCUUCUUGGAUGAGUUGCGAACGGGUGAGUAACGCGUAGGUAACCUGCCUUGUAGCGGGGGAUAACUAUUUGAAACGAUAGCUAAUACCGCAUAACAAUGGAUGACACAUGUCAUUUAUUUGAAAGGGGCAAUUGCUCCACUACAAGAUGGACCUGCGUUGUAUUAGCUAGUAGGUGAGGUAAUGGCUCACCUAGGCGACGAUACAUAGCCGACCUGAGAGGGUGAACGGCCACACUGGGACUGAGACACGGCCCAGACUUCUACGGGGAGCAGCAGGAGGGAAUCUUCGGCAAUGGGGGGAACGCUGACCGAGCAACGCCGCGUGAGUGAAGGAGGUUUUCCGAUCGUAAAGCUCUGUUGUAAGUCAAGAACGGGUGUGAGAGUGGAAAGUUCACACUGUGACGGUAGCUUACCAGAAAGCGACGGCUAACUACGUG
RNAcentral lists this ribosomal RNA (497 nucleotides) under uncultured bacterium. RNAcentral describes it as "partial 16S ribosomal RNA". It matches the Rfam family "Bacterial small subunit ribosomal RNA", at positions 28 to 507 of the family's 1533-position model. The record is from RNAcentral.